GGUUUAACCUAGUGUGUGACUGUGAGUCUGUGUGAGGGGCCGAGUGUGUGAGGUACUUAGGUGAGGCGGAAGCUAGAGAAGGGGCUCCCUCAGGAGCGAGGGACAAAAGGGGCGUGAGGCACCUAGGCCGCGGGACCCCAGCGACAGGAAGCCGCCCCGAGCCGGGCUACCGGGUAGGGGAAGGGCCCGCGCAGUCCUCACAGGGCCCCAGAGCCAGAGUCGGCCACACAGCACCGGGCCGUCGGCUUCCUACUUCUUCGACCUCCCCGGCGUCUGGGCCCGAGGAUUGGCUCUGCGUGGGGAGGAGAAACAGAUUCGAGCAGCUACUUGUCUCGCAACUCCACUGCUGAGGAACUCUCAUUUCUUCCUUGGCUCCUUCACCCCCACCUCAUGUAGGAGGGUGCUGAGGAGACGGGAGGGAGGAGGAGCCUGGACUACCGUCCCUUCCCUCCCCACCCCCUUGUAGGGGCGCUUUGGUAGGCGUGGGGCUGGGGGGGAGGGUGGGGGUUACUUUUUGGAGUGCUGGGGAACUUUUUCCCCUUUUUGAGGCCAGGGGAAAGGGAAUGCCCAAUCCAGAGAGACAUGGGGGCAAGAAGGACGGGAGUGGGGGAGCUUCUGGAACUUUGCAGCCGUCAUCGGGAGGUGGCAGCUCCAACAGCAGAGAGCGUCACCGCUUGGGGUCGAAGCACAAGCGGCAUAAGUCCAAGCACUCCAAAGACAUGGGAUUGGUGACACCCGAAGCAACACCUUUGGGCACGGUUAUCAAACCUUUGGUGGAAUAUGAUGACAUUAGCUCUGAUUCCGAUACCUUCUCUGACGACCUGGCUUUCAAACUGGACCGGAGGGAAAAUGAUGAACGUCGCGGGACUGAUCGCAGCGACCGCCUGCAUAAGCACCGUCACCACCAGCACCGACGUACCCGCGACUUAUUAAAAACUAAACAGACAGAGAAAGAAAAAAACCUGGAAGCCUCCAGCAAGUCGGGCUCGACGAAGGACCGGAUAUCAGGAAGUUCAAAGCGUUCAAAUGAGGAGAAUGAUGACCGCGGGAAGGCGCAGAUCUCGAAAAGCAGCAGCAAGGAAUCCAGGUCAUCCAAACUCCAUAAAGAGAAGACCCGGAAAGAACGUGAGUUGAAGUCGGGACACAAAGACCGAAGUAAAAGUCAUCGGAAAAGGGAAACACCCAAAAGUUACAAAACCGUGGACAGCCCCAAACGGAGAUCCAGGAGUCCCCACCGGAAGUGGUCCGACAGCCCCAAGCAAGAUGAUAGCCCCUCCGGAGCUUCUUACGGCCAAGAUUAUGACCUUAGUCCCCCGAGAUCUCACACCUCUAGCAAUUACGACUCCUACAAGAAGAGUCCGGGAAGUACCUCUAGAAGGCCGUCAAUCAGCCCACCUUACAAGGAGCCUUCUGCCUACCAGUCCAGCACUCGGUCACCCAGCCCCUACAGUAGACGACAGAGGUCUGUGAGUCCCUAUAGCCGGCGACGUUCUUCCAGCUAUGAAAGGAGUGGCUCUUACAGUGGGAGAUCACCCAGUCCCUACGGUCGAAGGCGGUCCAGCAGCCCUUUUCUGAGCAAGCGCUCUCUGAGCCGGAGUCCACUUCCCAGUAGAAAAUCAAUGAAGUCUAGAAGUAGAAGUCCUGCAUAUUCAAGACACUCAUCUUCUCACAGUAAAAAGAAGAGAUCCGGGUCACGCAGUCGACAUUCCAGUAUCUCACCUGUCAGGCUUCCAUUGAACUCCAGCUUGGGAGCUGAACUCAGUAGGAAAAAGAAGGAAAGAGCAGCAGCUGCUGCAGCAGCAAAAAUGGAUGGGAAGGAAUCCAAGGGUUCACCUAUAUUUUUGCCUAGAAAAGAAAACAGUUCAGUAGAGGCUAAGGAUUCAGGCUUGGAGCCUAAAAAGUUACCCAGAGGUGUAAAAUUGGAAAAAUCUGCCCCAGAUACUGAACUGGUGAAUGUAACACAUCUAAACACAGAGGUCAAAAAUUCUUUAGAUACAGGGAAAGUGAAGUUGGAUGAGAACUCUGAGAAGCAUCCUGUUCCUAAAGAUACGAAAGUACAGGGAACAAGAGACUCUAAACCUGUAGCACUGAAAGAGGAGAUUGUUACUCCAAAAGAGACAGAGACAUCUGAAAAGGAGACCCUUCCACCUCUUCCCACAGUUACUUCUCCACCUCCUUUACCAACUACUACCCCUCCACCACAGACACCCCCCUUGCCACCUUUGCCUCCACUGCCAGCUAUUUCACAGCAGCCACCUCUGCCUCCUCCCCAGCCAACACUUAGUCAGGUUCUUUCUUCAAGUACUUCAACUUUGCCCCCCUCUGUUCAUCCAAGGACAUCUACUCUGCCCUCUCAGGCAAAUUCUCAGCCCCCUGUACAGGUUUCUGUGAAGACUCAAGUAUCUGUAACAGCUGCUAUUCCACACCUAAAAACUUCAACGUUGCCUCCUUUGCCCCUCCCACCCUUAUUACUGGGAGAUGAUGACAUGGAUAGUCCGAAAGAAACUAUACCUUCAAAACCUGUGAAGAAAGAGAAAGAACAAAGACCACGGCACCUACUCACAGACCUCCCUCUCCCUCCAGAGCUCCCUGGUGGGGAUCCAUCUCCCCCAGACUCCCCAGAACCAAAGGCAAUCACACCACCUCAGCAACCAUACAAAAAGAGACCAAAAAUUUGUUGUCCACGUUAUGGAGAAAGAAGACAGACAGAAAGUGACUGGGGGAAACGCUGUGUGGACAAGUUUGACAUUAUUGGGAUUAUUGGAGAAGGAACUUAUGGCCAGGUAUAUAAAGCAAAGGACAAAGACACAGGAGAGCUGGUGGCCCUGAAGAAGGUGAGACUGGACAAUGAAAAAGAGGGCUUCCCAAUCACAGCCAUUCGUGAGAUCAAAAUCCUUCGUCAGCUGAUCCACCGAAGUGUUGUUAACAUGAAGGAAAUUGUCACAGAUAAGCAGGAUGCACUGGAUUUCAAGAAGGACAAAGGAGCCUUUUACCUUGUGUUUGAAUAUAUGGACCAUGACUUAAUGGGACUUCUGGAAUCUGGUUUGGUGCACUUUUCUGAGGACCAUAUCAAGUCAUUCAUGAAACAGCUAAUGGAAGGAUUGGAUUACUGUCAUAAAAAGAAUUUCCUGCAUCGGGAUAUUAAGUGUUCUAACAUUUUGCUGAACAACAGUGGGCAGAUCAAACUAGCAGAUUUUGGACUUGCUCGACUCUAUAAUUCUGAAGAGAGCCGUCCUUAUACAAACAAAGUUAUUACUCUGUGGUACCGACCUCCAGAACUUCUGCUGGGAGAGGAGCGUUAUACACCAGCGAUAGAUGUUUGGAGCUGUGGAUGCAUUCUUGGGGAACUGUUCACAAAGAAGCCUAUUUUUCAAGCCAAUCUGGAACUGGCUCAGCUAGAACUGAUCAGUCGACUCUGUGGUAGCCCUUGUCCAGCUGUGUGGCCUGAUGUUAUCAAGCUGCCCUACUUCAAUACAAUGAAACCGAAGAAGCAAUAUAGACGGCGCCUACGAGAAGAAUUCUCUUUCAUUCCUUCAGCAGCACUUGAUUUACUGGACCACAUGCUGACGUUAGAUCCUAGCAAACGUUGUACAGCUGAACAGACUCUACAGAGUGAUUUCCUUAAAGAUGUUGAGCUCAGCAAAAUGGAUCCUCCAGACCUUCCCCACUGGCAGGAUUGCCAUGAAUUAUGGAGUAAGAAACGGCGACGGCAGCGACAAAGUGGUGUUUUGGUAGAAGAGCCACCUCCACCCAAAGCCUCUCGAAAAGAAACAAUCUCAGGGACAAGUGCUGAGCCUGUAAAGAACAGCAGCCCAGCACCACCUCAGCCUGCUCCUGGCAAGGUGGAACCUGGGGCUGGGGAUGCAAUAGGCCUCGGUGAUAUCACACAGCAGUUGAAUCAAAGUGAAUUGGCAGUGUUACUGAACCUGCUGCAGAGCCAAACGGACCUGAGCAUUCCUCAAAUGGCGCAGCUGCUUAACAUCCACUCCAACCCAGAGAUGCAACAGCAGCUGGAGGCCCUGAACCAAUCCAUCAGUGCCCUAACGGCUGCCACUUCCCAACAGCAGGACUCAGAGCCCACAGCCCCAGAGGAAUCUUUGAAGGAGAUAGCCCCUGCCCCAGCAGUCCAACCUUCAGCAGAACAGACAACCCCUGAAGCUUCAAGCACACCAGCUGACAUGCAGAAUAUGUUGGCAGUUCUCUUGAGUCAACUGAUGAAAACCCAGGAGCCAGCAGGCAACCUGGAGGAAAACAACAGUGACAAGAACAGUGGGCCACAGGGGCCCCGAAGAACUCCCACAAUGCCACAGGAGGAGGCAGCAGCAUGUCCUCCUCACAUUCUUCCACCAGAGAAGAGGCCCCCUGAGCCCCCCGGACCUCCACCGCCGCCACCUCCACCCCCUCUGGUUGAAGGCGAUCUUUCCAGCGCCCCCCAGGAGUUGAACCCAGCCGUGACAGCCGCCUUGCUGCAACUUUUAUCCCAGCCUGAAGCAGAGCCUCCUGGCCACCUGCCACAUGAGCACCAGGCCUUGAGAUCAAUGGAUUACUCCACCCGACCCCAUCCCAACAGGACUUACGGAAACACUGACGGGCCUGAAACAGGGUUCAGUGCCACUGACACUGAUGAACGCAACUCUGGUCCAGCCUUGACAGAAUCUUUGGCCCAGACCCUGGUGAAGAACAGGACCUUCUCGGGCUCUGUGAGCCACCUUGGGGAGUCCAGCAGUUACCAGGGCACAGGGUGACAGCAGCAGGAGGAGGAAUGGCCCCUGAGGAAUUUGGUAAUGUCCAUUAGUUACCUGACAUCCGGAGCCCUGGCAAAUUCACUCUUUCACAGAGUUUCAAGCCAGGUUUGAUGGGAGAUCCCCCCUGUCCACACACUGUGCAGGACACCGGAAGUAAGAGGUCUGCCAGCCUGCUUAUUCCCAUCCUCAAUGCCCAGAACUGAGCAGGUCACCAACCUACAGUGCCUACCCCUACCCUUCUUCCAGCCAGUGUGUCCCACUGGUUGGUAAGAGAGCUGGAUGUCUGAACCUCCCACCUUGACACCUCGAAGGUUACCAAGCAGACCGUUCUCUAACUCCCAAAGCCGUGGAGGAGGCAAAGGAAGACAUUUCAGAGGUGGCAGUGCCAUGAUGUCCAUCAGUACCUGGGCAGAGAAGCCGAGGAGCAGAGACAGAGACCAGAGAGGGACAGGAGGAGACGCCUGCUCCUGAAGCGCCUCCGUACCCCGUCCUGUCUCACGUGCCUUCUCACAUGCUGACACGGCUCUGUGCCCAGGCUGUGCCAGGCUUCCUGGCUGGUGACCCUGCUCUGCUGUACGGGCAGCUGGCCCUCUGCUCCAGCACAGAGCACGUGCCGGGGUCUCUCCCACUUCUUUCUAAUGCGUCUCAGUGUGUCUGUGGUGCAGAUUCCUAGGGAUUAAGAAGGGGACUGUGGCCCUGGGAGUAGGAAGAUGGUGGGCUCUUGGGUCCUGUAGGUGCCUGUCUGCCUGGCUGGAGCGGCUGUGGGGAGGGAGAAGGCUGCUGGCAGCUCAACUGAGCUCAAGGUUCUGGUGACUCAUAACAAUGGGGGGUGGCUCAUGAUAACAACAGAGGAGAAGGUGUCAGGGCCUGUUAGAGCUCCCUUUUGCCCCAUUUCUCCCCCACUCUGCGCUCUGUGGAUAGAGGUCUCUCAUCUGGAUUGUGGGGCAAGGAGAGACCCCAGCUAAGAAAGAAGAGAGGGAAAUAGGAGAGAAGAUGGCAGGGAAUGCUGAGCAUUCCCAGGGAGAGGCUUCUCAGUGAGGAAAGGAUAGGAGAGGCUAGUUAUUCUUACUCUGCCGUGUCCAUGGGCUACACACAGGGUGGUGUGCUGGGCAGCUCGGCACUCCUGGGCAGACACAGCUACUGCUCCCUGCCCUCUCUUGCCUUCCACAGCUCUGGGCACCCAAAAAUUUUUUUUUAAAGUAGGGGGGCACUAUUUUAAGACCAGAACAUGGAAGGAUUACCACUUGGUCUUAUACUUUCUUUGCUGGAAACAGAAACUGUGGUCUUCAAAGGUGCUGAUUUUCUCUUCCCUUACAGGCCAAGUAGGCGAUGUGCAUCUUCUCCAGACUUUCUGAAUCAGGGGGAUGAUAAAAUACUAUGUUUAAGGUCACACCAGCCGAACAGGGCCAGAAAGAGGACCAGGAGAACUAGCCAUGCCCCUGACCACAGUCCCAGGGGCCUCCCUGUUUCAGCAAAAGGAAAUAAAGAUCUUGGAUACCAGUGUAUCUAGACACUUAAUAAAUAUCCUCCUUCUAACCUCAGAGAAGAAUCGGAGAGGAGCUCUCUGAGAGAACCUAAGUUUUCAUUUGUCUAUUUCUAUUCUUUUCACUGAUGGCAGCUCUGCUGUCCAGCAGCAGUGAGGGGCCCCUCUGCUGGGAUGCUUCUGGGGAUCCAGAGACAGUUUUGGUUGGACAAAGGGACAGGCUGGCUGCUGUUUGUGUAGGGAGAUGUGACCAGUUCCACUUCCCCAGCUCUUCCUGGCAGCAUCAGGAACCCAGGCACCCCUGCUGGAACACCCAUAGUAAAGCUCAACCCUGAACUGAACUGACAUAUCACCUGGCUCUGCUAUAAAAGUGGUGAUGUAAGGGGGAGGCUCGGUGCACCUGGUCGGGUGUAGGCAGGUGUGGGGAGUUCAACUCCAGGAGGUACAAGGAUCACUCCACAAUACCACCUCUUAAACCUUCUCCUCAACCCUCCUUUAACUUCCACCUCCAUUUAGCCGACUCCGCUUCUGGCUACCUCAUGCCCUCCAAUCUGAAAAGACAUGGUAAGUAGUUGUCUGUUGCCUACACUUUUUUCUCACUCUCCUCCGCUCCUCCCAACUCCCAGCCAAGAGUUACCCCAUUUGACCUCUUCCCAUUGGUGAAAGCCCUCCGGUUCUGAACCCAGAAUCCCCAGCCUCUGAAACCCUCCUUCUUUUGAGAAUGCCACUCUGGCUCUGAGACUGACUCACCAGUCCUCAUCCUCCACAUAAGUAUAGCGAGGCCAAGACAAGCAUGUCCACUGGCACCAAGGGCCCUGACCUGAAGCAAAGGGCAGCUCUAGGGGUACAGCAGAGCUUGGCCCUGAAUGUGUAUAUGCCUGUGCAUUGGGCACAUUGGUUUAUUAGUGUUAUUUCAGCAUUGUGAUGCAGAGAGAGUAAGUGUAACAGCUGCUCCUUGCUUGCAGUGUUUAUUGUUACCUAGAGACAACCUCCUGGCUUUUUCCCAGCUCCCCCUCCCCCCCCAGCUUACCCCCCUCCCUGCCAACAGUCCUCCUCUCCCCACACUGAUGGGAAAUUUAUGGCUUGCCCAUACCAUGUCUUUAACCCUCUCCUGUCCAUAAGAUAGGUGGGUCAAGGGAAGCCAAAGUGAGCAGUGGGCCUGCUUAGGUCCCAGCAGGGUAGAAUAGUGCUUGGAGGAGGGAAGGAGAGACAGAGGGACGGAAGACACCUCUUCUUCCCAAUCUGUGUCUGGACUCAGGCCCCAGUUUCCUUCCUGACUCUCAUGUUGAGAGAAAAGUCUUAGGAUCCCAGGCUUCUCCUCACAAGAUUAUUCUCUUCCCUGGUUAUCUCUAAGCACUCCCCUCCUCAGUGGACUGGCUGCUCCUGAGCAAGUACAACCAGGUAGUAUUGAGACAGGAGGAAUAAAUGCAGAGUGGCAGAACCCCUGGGGCCCCUCCUUUCUAUAGAGAUGUCAUAUUGAGACAAACAAGAGGCUCUGGCAUGAACGGUGCUGGCCAGACCUCCACAGCUGAGUAGAUGUCAAACAUGAAGCUGGCUGCUGAGCCUGGUGGGGAAAACUGCCCACCUUAACUUCACCCUGAGCCUAGCACUAAGGUCCUGAGAGAGUCCCAGGCCACCCUCCAAGCUGAUCUCCUUGGUCUAGUUUCCUGAUACAUUUUCUCCUGCUCAUUGUUUGGUUUGAUACAUUGGGAAAGAUCCAAGAGACCAAGGGAACUGAGGCCUCAACAGUCCUAUGGAAAGAGAAACUCCUCUAUCCCAUCUGGUCCCAGGACCUUUCAUGGAGGGGCAUCAUGUCAUAUAUUCACCAUCCCCGCUGGAAACAAGAGAAAUAAAAUAAUAGGAUUUUAGCAGAAAGGAUAGAGGUUAGACAUAUGGAAAAACUUACUUGUGGGGUAUAAGACUUCAAAAUGGACCUACUUCUCUUUAGAGACUUUUCUUUUGCCUUGGAUGGUUUUAAGUCUGUGUUUACCCAAGGGGCAUUGGAAGAGCAGGGGUAAUUUUCUGGGGCUCCUCCAGACGUGAACCUCAGUGCAGUUUCCCCCUCAGUUCUAAACCUAGUAUGUGUGGUGGUUAGAUUGUAAAUUUAUGGGCUGACAGCCUUGAGUUCCAAUGCUGGUGCUGCUGCUCACUAGCUGUGCCACCUUGGUAAAUCCCAUAACCUCUUUUAGCCCUAGUUUCCUUGCCUGUGAAAUGUAGAUAACCUUUUAAGAUGGUGAAGAGAAUUUAGUGAAAUAAUGUGUGUAAAGUACCUCAGAAAGUGCCUGAUACUGAGUAGGUGCUCAGUCAAUAGUGGUUGAUACAAUAGAGUCUACUACUUUUUUAGAGUCAUCAGGGCUGAUUUCUUCAAAGGCUCUUAUGAAUCCCCUGGAAUUAUAGCCAAAUGUGAGUUUGUGCAAGUGCUGGGGGUAAUGUCCAUAGUUUUAUUGAUGAUGUGAAACAGGACGGCAGUCUCCUGGAAAGGAAGUAGCCCCAAUCCUUUGAGUCACACUCCAGAAGAAGUCAGUUUCCGCAUACCCAUGACUUCAGCUAGGAGCUCCGCAGGUAGUGUCCUGCCUGGAAGUACAGCUUCAUCUAGAAUGGAGCUGGGAGAGACAGCCAGUAAGGUAACAUGGAGGAAUGGAAAGCCCUGGUGGCUGGUGGUCCAGUGGUUAGGACUCCGUGCUUCCACUGCAGGGGGCGUGUGUGUUCCAUCCCUGGUCAGGGAACUAAGAUCCUCCGUGCUGUGCAGCACAGCCAAAAUAAAAAGAUAGCAGCACAGAGCGCUUGCCAAGCACUUUACAGUUUGUAAGUGCGUUUACCUGUAUUAGCUCUCUUAAAUACCCAGAACAUCUCAGUAAAAUGAAGAACUACCUGGCAUUGUUCUUGGUGUACUAUAUUUUUAAGGAUGUUUAAAGUCUGUAGACUAUUUCAUCACCUAGGUAUGUCAUGAUUUAUAAAGCUCAUCCACUAUUUUAAUCAUUUAGAUAUGUUUACUGUUACAGAUAAUACCAUGAUGAACAUCCUACCACAUAAAACUUGUGUGGUUUUUUUUUCAUUUUUUAUUGAAGUAGAAUUGAUAUACAACAUUUUAUUAGUUUCAGGUUACAACAUAAUGGUUCAGUAUUUGUAUAUAUUGCAAAAUUAUCAUCACAGUGAGUCUAGUUAACAUCCAUCACCAUAAUAGUUACAGAAUUCUUUUUUUCUUGUGAAAAACUUCAUGCAAUUUUUAAAGUAAAUUCAAGGGAGUGAAAUUACUGGUACAACAGAUACAAAUACCCCAGUCCCCAUAGUUAUAAUCAUCUUAUUGAUGCAAUGAGAAUAAUAUUUUUUAAUCUUCCUCUUUGGAAUUCUGCAGUGGGAACACAAGGGCAGCCCCUUCUCUCUCCUAUACCCAGCAGAAACAUUAAUAAUCUAUCAUAUCCUUUUUAAAAAUUGAGGUAAUUGCAGUUGUAAAAAUAAUACAGAGAGUUCCCUUAUACAUUUUGCCCACUUUCACCCAGUAGUAACAUCUUGUAAAACUGUAGCAUAACAUCACAACCGGAACAUUGCCAUUAUUUCAAACCACCAGUCUUAGUCAUAUUUCCCCAGUUUUACCUGUAUAUGUGUAUAUAUUAAGUUCUAUGCAAUUUUAUUACCUCUGUAAAUUCUUAAAUCUGCUACCACAGUUCCAGCACCACAAGGAUUCUUCAUGUUACCCUUUUAAUGAUCACGCCUCUAUGUCACCCCCUUCUUAACCCUUGACAACCACUAAUAUAUCCUCCACUUCUAAAAUUUUGUCAUUUGAAAAUGGAAUCAUACAUUGUGUAACUUUUGGGGAUUGGAUUUUUUUUCACUCAGCAUAAUCCUCUAGAGAUCCAUCCGAGUUUUUUAAUGUAUCAGUAGUUUAUUUUAUUUAUUUCAAGAUAUGGAUGUACCACAGAUGUACCAUGUUUAACCAUUAAUCUAUUAAAGAAUACUGAAUACAACAUUGUAAAUCAGUUAUACUCCAAUAAAACUAAAAGUUUUUUGAAAAAAGGAACACUUUGUGCUC
Cervus elaphus (red deer) is the source of this 10258-nucleotide RNA transcript. It is a transcript of the gene named cyclin dependent kinase 12, with no coding region annotated. The record is from RefSeq and is a predicted model, not a curated record. Lineage: Eukaryota; Metazoa; Chordata; Mammalia; Artiodactyla; Cervidae. The transcript is spliced from 17 exons.